RNAcentral lists this long non-coding RNA (738 nucleotides) under Homo sapiens (human). RNAcentral's name for it is "HSALNT0158942". Lineage: Eukaryota; Metazoa; Chordata; Mammalia; Primates; Hominidae. The record is from RNAcentral.
CUCUUCUGGAAGGGUAAGAGCAAGAGCAGUGGGCUGAAGAACUGUUAUCCCUCUGCAGUACAUGGGGGUUUGAGCUCACGUCAAUGUGCCUGACCUAAGGGCAAAUGGAGCUAAGCAGGAGGGAGAAUUAGACACUUGCCACGGCUUGGAGACAGGGUCUACUGCUCUCUGCUGAACCAGAGGAAAGAACACACUGGCUCCUGAACCUUCGCAGGAAGACAAGGCGAGGGCUGCUGGGUGCCCGUCGCUGCUCACAGCACAGAACGUCCCACUCCUCAGACUCUUUGUCCCCGUCCUAAGACUGUCCUUCACUUGGUCCAUCCAAUCCAAAAUAUGGGCAUACGAAACACACCUCAUCCUUCACACACACAACAUGCUCAACCUUCACUAGCCACGUGACUUUCUUUCUCACAUCAUCCUGAAUUUGCUUUUCUGGUGAGUACCCAGGGACAGCCCUGGUUCAGUGAUGAGGCCUCACAGCCUGUGGUGAGUGCUCACUGUUAGUGUGGCUUUGACUGGAACACAGUCCCUGCAGGGUGGCAUCCAGUGCUCCCUGACUCCAUGCAUGAGGUGUCAUGUGGUCAGUGGCCGCAUGGGUUAAACCCCAGAAGGCCAGACCUGGAGGAGAGAUCCAGCUCCAGCCCAUCUGGGAAGUCCCUGAUCGGGGGUGAUGAUGGUGACAAAGGUUGGUUGACCAGAGAGAUCCACCAUCCACCAUUUGGGGAUGUCCCUACCAGG